GACGAACGCUGGCGGCGUGCUUAACACAUGCAAGUCGAGCGGUAAGGCCCUUUCGGGGGUACACGAGCGGCGAACGGGUGAGUAACACGUGGGUGACCUGCCCUCAGCUCUGGGAUAAGCCUGGGAAACCGGGUCUAAUACCGGAUAUGACUCCAUGACGCAUGUUGUGGGGUGGAAAGCCUUGUGCGGCUGAGGAUGGGCCCGCGGCCUAUCAGCUUGUUGGUGGGGUNAUGGCCUACCAAGGCGGCGACGGGUAGCCGGCCUGAGAGGGCGACCGGCCACACUGGGACUGAGACACGGCCCAGACUCCUACGGGAGGCAGCAGUGGGGAAUCUUGCGCAAUGGGCGAAAGCCUGACGCAGCGACGCCGCGUGAGGGAUGACGGCCUGGUGUAAC
This 396-nucleotide ribosomal RNA is filed under the name uncultured bacterium. RNAcentral's name for it is "bacterial SSU rRNA". It matches the Rfam family "Bacterial small subunit ribosomal RNA", at positions 28 to 429 of the family's 1533-position model. The record is from RNAcentral.